This 70-nucleotide transfer RNA is filed under the name Hoplias intermedius. RNAcentral's name for it is "tRNA-Pro". It matches the Rfam family "tRNA". Rfam says of the family: Transfer RNA (tRNA) molecules are approximately 80 nucleotides in length. Their secondary structure includes four short double-helical elements and three loops (D, anti-codon, and T loops). Lineage: Eukaryota; Metazoa; Chordata; Actinopteri; Characiformes; Erythrinidae. The record is from RNAcentral.
CAGGAAAUAGUUUAAUUUAGAAUGCUAGCUUUGGGAGUUAGUGGUGAGAGUUAAAAUCUUUCUUUCCUGG